UACGGAGGGUGCGAGCGUUGUCCGGAAUCACUGGGCGUAAAGGGCGCGUAGGCGGCGCGGGAAGUCCGUGGUGAAAGCCCGAGGCUCAACUUCGGGUCGGCCAUGGAUACUCCUGGGCUUGAGCACUGUAGAGGCAGGUGGAAUUCCGGGUGUAGCGGUGGAAGUGCGUAGAGAUCCGGAAGAACACCGGUGGCGAAGGCGGCCUGCUGGGCAGUAGCUGACGCUGAGGCGCGACAGCGUGGGGAGCAAACAGG
RNAcentral lists this ribosomal RNA (254 nucleotides) under uncultured bacterium. RNAcentral's name for it is "partial 16S ribosomal RNA". It matches the Rfam family "Bacterial small subunit ribosomal RNA", at positions 524 to 776 of the family's 1533-position model. The record is from RNAcentral.